GUAGGGAAUAUUGGGCAAUGGAGGCAACUCUGACCCAGCCAUGCCGCGUGCAGGAUGACGGCCCUCUGGGUUGUAAACUGCUUUUAUACGGGAAGAAAAAAUACUACGUGUAGUAUACUGACGGUACCGUAAGAAUAAGGAUCGGCUAACUCCGUGCCAGCAGCCGCGGUAAUACGGAGGAUCCAAGCGUUGUCCGGAUUCAUUGGGUUUAAAGGGUGCGUAGGCGGAUCUUUAAGUCAGUGGUGAAAGCCUGCAGCUUAACUGUAGAAUUGCCAUUGAAACUGAAGAGCUUGAAUGUGGUUAAAGUAGGCGGAAUGUAUCAUGUAGCGGUGAAAUGCUUAGAUAUGAUACAGAACACCGAUAGCGAAGGCAGCUUGCUGAACCAUUAUUGACGCUGAGGCACGAAAGCGUGGGGAGCAAACGGGAUUAGAAACCCGGGUAGUCC
Molecule: ribosomal RNA, 445 nt
Filed under: uncultured bacterium
Lineage: Bacteria
Description: bacterial SSU rRNA
Rfam family: Bacterial small subunit ribosomal RNA
Source: RNAcentral